Molecule: ribosomal RNA, 507 nt
Filed under: Corydalus luteus
Lineage: Eukaryota; Metazoa; Arthropoda; Insecta; Megaloptera; Corydalidae
Description: partial 16S ribosomal RNA
Rfam family: Bacterial large subunit ribosomal RNA
Source: RNAcentral
GUCUUUUAGAUAAUAAUUUAAAGUCUGGCCUGCCCACUGAAUAUGAUUUUAAAGGGCCGCGGUAUUUUGACUGUGCAAAGGUAGCAUAAUCAUUAGUCUUUUAAUUGAAGGCUUGUAUGAAUGGUUGGAUGAAAUAUUAACUGUCUCGUGUUAAUAAGAUAGAAUUUAAUUUUUAAGUUAAAAAGCUUAAAUAUUAUUAGAGGACGAGAAGACCCUAUAGAUUUUUAUAAUUUUUUAUUUAUAAAUAAUUUAGUUGAGAGAAAUUUUUAAUUAAGAAAUUAUUUUAUUGGGGUGAUAAAUAAAUUUAAUAAACUUUAUAAAAUAUAAACAUUAAUGUAUGAAUUUUUGAUCCAUUUUUAGUGAUUAUAAGAUUAAAUUACCUUAGGGAUAACAGCGUAAUUUUUUUAGAGAGUUCAUAUCGAUAAAAAAGUUUGCGACCUCGAUGUUGAAUUAAAGAUUAAUUUAGGUGUAGAAGUUUAAAUUUUUGGUCUGUUCGACCAUUGAAUC